RNAcentral lists this ribosomal RNA (495 nucleotides) under uncultured Fusibacter sp. RNAcentral describes it as "bacterial SSU rRNA". It matches the Rfam family "Bacterial small subunit ribosomal RNA", at positions 888 to 1382 of the family's 1533-position model. Lineage: Bacteria; Bacillati; Bacillota; Clostridia; Eubacteriales; Fusibacteraceae. The record is from RNAcentral.
CCCGCUCAGAAACUCAAAGGAAUUGACGGGGACCCGCACAAGCAGCGGAGCAUGUGGUUUAAUUCGAAGCAACGCGAAGAACCUUACCAGGUCUUGACAUCCUCUUGCAAGCGUCCUAGCCGACGCCCUCCUUCGGGACAAGAGAGACAGGUGGUGCAUGGUUGUCGUCAGCUCGUGUCGUGAGAUGUUGGGUUAAGUCCCGCAACGAGCGCAACCCUUGUGUUUAGUUGCCAACAGGUUAAGCUGUGCACUCUAAACAGACUGCCGUGGAUAACACGGAGGAAGGUGGGGAUGACGUCAAAUCAUCAUGCCCCUUAUGAUCUGGGCUACACACGUGCUACAAUGGUCGGUACAACGGGCAGCGAAAGAGUGAUCUGGAGCGAAUCCUAAAAAGCCGAUCCCAGUUCGGAUUGCAGGCUGAAACUCGCCUACAUGAAGUUGGAGUUGCUAGUAAUCGCGAAUCAGAAUGUCGCGGUGAAUGCGUUCCCGGGUCUU